RNAcentral lists this ribosomal RNA (520 nucleotides) under Carabus cateniger cateniger. Its description in RNAcentral is "partial 16S ribosomal RNA". It matches the Rfam family "Bacterial large subunit ribosomal RNA", at positions 1819 to 2599 of the family's 2925-position model. Lineage: Eukaryota; Metazoa; Arthropoda; Insecta; Coleoptera; Carabidae. The record is from RNAcentral.
GUCCUUUUGUAUUUUAUAUAAGGUCUAGCCUGCCCACUGAAUUUAUAUUUUAAAUGGCCGCAGUAUUUUGACUGUGCAAAGGUAGCAUAAUCAUUAGUUUUUUAAUUAAAAGCUUGUAUGAAAGGCUGGACGAGGUAAAAUCUGUCUCUAUUUAAAUUAAAAUAGAAUUUAACUUUUAAGUUAAAAGGCUUAAAUAUUAUUAAAAGACGAGAAGACCCUAUAGAUCUUUAUAUUUUAUUAAGUAAAAUUAAUUUAGAAAUAUUUAUAUUUUAUUUAAUUAAAUUAUUUUAUUGGGGUAAUAGAAAGAUUGAAUUAAUUCUUUUUUAUAAUAAACAUUAAUUUAUGAAUAUUAAUGAUCCAGUUUUACUGAUUAUAAGAUUAAGUUACCUUAGGGAUAACAGCGUAAUUUUUUUAGAGAGUUCAUAUCGAUAAAAAAGUUUGCGACCUCGAUGUUGGAUUAAAGAUUAUUUUAGGUGUAGAAGCUUAAUAAUUUUGGUCUGUUCGACCAUUAAAUCUUUAC